AGAGUGUUAUGAUGUUGGAAAAUUUAUUUUUUCCGAGUCUAGCUCGGUGCUAAUCCUCUGACUUUUAGUCGGAGGA
This is a non-coding RNA of Enterococcus sp. 6C8_DIV0013, 76 nucleotides long. The record is from Rfam. NCBI's taxonomy places the organism in Bacteria, Bacillati, Bacillota, Bacilli, Lactobacillales, Enterococcaceae.